Molecule: ribosomal RNA, 585 nt
Filed under: uncultured bacterium
Lineage: Bacteria
Description: partial 16S ribosomal RNA
Rfam family: Bacterial small subunit ribosomal RNA
Source: RNAcentral
UGGGGAAUUUUGGACAAUGGGCGAAAGCCUGAUCCAGCAAUGCCGCGUGUGUGAAGAAGGCCUUCGGGUUGUAAAGCACUUUUGUCCGGAAAGAAAUCCUUGGCUCUAAUGCAGUCGGGGGAUGACGGUACCGGAAGAAUAAGCACCGGCUAACUACGUGCCAGCAGCCGCGGUAGUACGUAGGGUGCAAGCGUUAAUCGGAAUUACUGGGCGUAAAGCGUGCGCAGGCGGUUUGCUAAGACCGAUGUGAAAUCCCCGGGCUCAACCUGGGAACUGCAUUGGUGACUGGCAGGCUAGAGUAUGGCAGAGGGGGGUAGAAUUCCACGUGUAGCAGUGAAAUGCGUAGAGAUGUGGAGGAAUACCGAUGGCGAAGGCAGCCCCCUGGGCCAAUACUGACGCUCAUGCACGAAAGCGUGGGGAGCAAACAGGAUUAGAUACCCUGGUAGUCCACGCCCUAAACGAUGUCAACUAGUUGUUGGGGAUUCAUUUCCUUAGUAACGUAGCUAACGCGUGAAGUUGACCGCCUGGGGAGUACGGUCGCAAGAUUAAAACUCAAAGGAAUUGACGGGGUCAUAGCUGUUUCCU